UGAUGCAGCAACGCCGCGUGAGCGAUGAAGGCCUUCGGGUCGUAAAGCUCUGUCCUCAAGGAAGAUAAUGACGGUACUUGAGGAGGAAGCCCCGGCUAACUACGUGCCAGCAGCCGCGGUAAUACGUAGGGGGCUAGCGUUAUCCGGAAUUACUGGGCGUAAAGGGUGCGUAGGCGGUCUUUCAAGCCAGAAGUGAAAGGCUACGGCUCAACCGUAGUAAGCUUUUGGAACUGUAGGACUUGAGUGCAGGAGAGGAGAGUGGAAUUCCUAGUGUAGCGGUGAAAUGCGUAGAUAUUAGGAGGAACACCAGUAGCGAAGGCGGCUCUCUGGACUGUAACUGACGCUGAGGCACGAAAGCGUGGGGAGCAAACAGGAUUAGAUACCCCGGUAG
Molecule: ribosomal RNA, 391 nt
Filed under: Clostridium perfringens
Lineage: Bacteria; Bacillati; Bacillota; Clostridia; Eubacteriales; Clostridiaceae
Description: bacterial SSU rRNA
Rfam family: Bacterial small subunit ribosomal RNA
Source: RNAcentral